RNAcentral lists this long non-coding RNA (318 nucleotides) under Triticum aestivum (bread wheat). RNAcentral's name for it is "long non-coding RNA (TAES_LNC018769)". The record is from RNAcentral. Lineage: Eukaryota; Viridiplantae; Streptophyta; Magnoliopsida; Poales; Poaceae.
AUGUGCUAAACAUUGUUUCUCGCAUAGAUCGAGUGUGCAACGUUUCAUAACAAAACACGGCGGCUUGCCGGCCAUCGUGCCCUUCGUAUCUGCAUGCAUGCGAUCACAACAGUAACUUCCCAGUUACUAACAUCCAAAUAUGUAUGAAAAUAUUUAGAGAAAAGAAGACCAAAGAAAUGUACGUACCUAUGAUCCUUCCUUCUACUAGAGAGGGCAAGGAAGUGGUAGACAUGACAACAAGAGCCAGAAGGCACAUAGCCUGCCCGCUGUUCUUGAUAAGCGCCAUUAGGAGUACUUGAGUAGCUAGCUUUCUUGUUG